This 372-nucleotide ribosomal RNA is filed under the name uncultured organism. Its description in RNAcentral is "partial 16S ribosomal RNA". It matches the Rfam family "Bacterial small subunit ribosomal RNA", at positions 527 to 896 of the family's 1533-position model. The record is from RNAcentral.
GUAGGUGGCAAGCGUUGUCCGGAAUUAUUGGGCGUGAAGCGCGCGCAGGCGGUUCUUUAAGUCUGAUGUGAAAGCCCACGGCUCAACCGUGGAGGGUCAUUGGAAACUGGAGAACUUGAGUACAGAAGAGGAAAGCGGAAUUCCACGUGUAGCGGUGAAAUGCGUAGAGAUGUGGAGGAACACCAGUGGCGAAGGCGGCUUUCUGGUCUGUAACUGACGCUGAGGCGCGAAAGCGUGGGGGAGCAAACAGGAUUAGAUACCCUGGUAGUCCACGCCGUAAACGAUGAGUGCUAAGUGUUAGGGGGUUUCCGCCCCUUAGUGCUGCAGCUAACGCAUUAAGCACUCCGCCCUGGGAGUACGGCCGCGAGGCUG